GGUGGUGUAGCUCAGUGGUAGAGCACUAGUGUAGCACGUAAGAGACCCGAGGUUCCAUGCCUGGCAUCACAA
This 72-nucleotide transfer RNA is filed under the name Heterocephalus glaber (naked mole-rat). It matches the Rfam family "tRNA". Rfam says of the family: Transfer RNA (tRNA) molecules are approximately 80 nucleotides in length. Lineage: Eukaryota; Metazoa; Chordata; Mammalia; Rodentia; Bathyergidae. The record is from Rfam by way of RNAcentral.